AUUGAACGCUGGCGGCAUGCCUUACACAUGCAAGUCGAACGGCAGCGCGGACUUCGGUCUGGCGGCGAGUGGCGAACGGGUGAGUAAUACAUCGGAACGUACCCUGUUGUGGGGGAUAACUAGUCGAAAGAUUAGCUAAUACCGCAUACGACCUGAGGGUGAAAGUGGGGGACCGCAAGGCCACACGCAGCAGGAGCGGCCGAUGUCUGAUUAGCUAGUUGGUGGGGUGAAGGCCCAUCAAGGCGACUAUCAGUAGCUGGUCUGAGAGGACGAUCAGCCACACUGGGACUGAGACACGGCCCAGACUCCUACGGGAGGCAGCAGUGGGGAAUUUUGGACAAUGGGGGCAACCCUGAUCCAGCAAUGCCGCGUGUGUGAAGAAGGCCUUCGGGUUGUAAAGCACUUUUGUCCGGAAAGAAAUCGCGCUGGUUAAUACCUGGCGUGGAUGACGGUACCGGAAGAAUAAGCACCGGCUAACUACGUGCCAGCAGCCGCGGUAA
RNAcentral lists this ribosomal RNA (500 nucleotides) under uncultured bacterium. Its description in RNAcentral is "partial 16S ribosomal RNA". It matches the Rfam family "Bacterial small subunit ribosomal RNA", at positions 30 to 523 of the family's 1533-position model. The record is from RNAcentral.